GUGGGGAAUAUUCCGCAAUGGACGAAAGUCUGACGGAGCAACGCUGCGUGAGUGAUGAAGGUUUUCGGACUGUAAAGCUCUGUUGUUUAGGACGAAAGUGCCUGUUGCAAAUAGUUACAGGUAUUGACGGUACUGAACGAGGAAGCCACGGCUAACUACGUGCCAGCAGCCGCGGUAAUACGUAGGUGGCAAGCGUUGUCCGGAAUUAUUGGGCGUAAAGAGCAUGUAGGCGGGAAUCUAAGUCUGUUGUGAAAAUGCGGGGCUCAACCCCGUAGUGCGAUGGAAACUGGGUUUCUUGAGUGCAGGAGAGGAAAGGGGAAUUCCCAGUGUAGCGGUGAAAUGCGUAGAUAUUGGGAGGAACACCAGUGGCGAAGGCGCCUUUCUGGACUGUGUCUGACGCUGAGAUGCGAAAGCCAGGGUAGCGAACGGGAUUAGAAACCCCUGUAGUCC
RNAcentral lists this ribosomal RNA (450 nucleotides) under uncultured bacterium. RNAcentral's name for it is "partial 16S ribosomal RNA". It matches the Rfam family "Bacterial small subunit ribosomal RNA", at positions 354 to 796 of the family's 1533-position model. The record is from RNAcentral.